RNAcentral lists this non-coding RNA (21 nucleotides) under Caenorhabditis elegans. Lineage: Eukaryota; Metazoa; Nematoda; Chromadorea; Rhabditida; Rhabditidae. The record is from RNAcentral.
UUUUGGAAUUAUUCUAAUCCC